This 244-nucleotide unclassified non-coding RNA is filed under the name uncultured Bolbitiaceae. RNAcentral describes it as "sequence contains ITS1". The record is from RNAcentral. Lineage: Eukaryota; Fungi; Basidiomycota; Agaricomycetes; Agaricales; Bolbitiaceae.
CAGAAUAAACUUGAUAGGUUGUUGCUGGCUCUAAACACUGAGCAUGUGCACACUUGUCAUUUUUGUCUUUCCACCAUGUGCACUAUGCGUAGGAACAUCAUUUGAUCAAAGGCAACUUUGUUCACUGGAGACUGCUAUUGUGCAAGCAAUGGCUUUCUCUGCUUGUUCCUAUGAUUUUUAUAUAUACACCUUUUAAUGUUACAGAACGAUAUAAUGGGUCUUAAAAACCCUAUAAACUAUAAUA